CCCUUAGAUGUUCUGGGCCGCACGCGCGCUACACUGACGAAUGCAACGAGCUUAUAACCUUGGCCGAAAGGUCUGGGUAAUCUCCAAAUUUCGUCGUGAUGGGGAUAGAUUAUUGCAAUUAUUAAUCUUCAACGAGGAAUGCCUAGUAAGCGCAAGUCAUCAGCUUGCGUUGAUUACGUCCCUGCCCUUUGUACACACCGCCCGUCGCUCCUACCGAUUGAAUGGUCCGGUGAAGCGCUCGGACCGCGGCCUCUUGACGGUUCGCUGUCGAUUGGCUGUGGGAAGUUCGUUAAACCUUAUCAUUUAGAGGAAGGAGANGUCGUNACA
RNAcentral lists this ribosomal RNA (327 nucleotides) under uncultured eukaryote. RNAcentral describes it as "partial 18S ribosomal RNA". It matches the Rfam family "Eukaryotic small subunit ribosomal RNA", at positions 1470 to 1796 of the family's 1831-position model. The record is from RNAcentral.